Long non-coding RNA from Oncorhynchus tshawytscha (Chinook salmon), 322 nucleotides. The record is from Ensembl. NCBI's taxonomy places the organism in Eukaryota, Metazoa, Chordata, Actinopteri, Salmoniformes, Salmonidae.
UGUUAUAGCAGCAAAGGGGGGUCCAACUCCAUAUUAAAGCCUUCCCAGAAGAGUGGAGGCUGUUAUAGCAGCAAAGGGGGGACCAACUCCAUAUUAAAGCCUUCCCAGAAGAGUGGAGGCUGUUAUAGCAGCAAAGGGGGGACCAACUCCAUAUUAAUGACUUCCCAGAAGAGUGGAGGCUGUUAUAGCAGCAAAGGGGGACCAACUCCAUAUUAAUGCCUUCCCAGAAGAGUGGAGGCUGUUAUAGCAGCAAAGGGGGGGGACCAACUCCAUAUUAAUGACUUCCCAGAAGAGUGGAGGCUGUUAUAGCAGCAAAGGGGGA